AGAGUUUGAUCCUGGCUCCCAACGAACGCUGGCGGCGUGCUUAACACAUGCAAGUCGUACGAGAAACCGGGACUUCGGUUCCGGGAGUAAAGUGGCGCACGGGUGAGUAACGCGUAGGUAAUCUACCCUUGGGUUUGGAAUAACCCGCCGAAAGGCGGACUAAUACCGGAUAAAAUCUUUCGGAGGGAUCCGGCAGAUCAAAGGUGGCCUCUUCACGGAUGCUACUGUCAAAGGUGGCUCCAUGAAUGCUACUGCCUGGGGAUGAGCCUGCGUCCCAUUAGCUUGUUGGUAGGGUAAUGGCCUACCAAGGCUACGAUGGGUAGCUGGUCUGAGAGGAUGAUCAGUCACACUGGAACUGGAACACGGUCCAGACUCCUACGGGAGGCAGCAGUGAGGAAUAUUGCGCAAUGGGGGAAACCCUGACGCAGCGACGCCGCGUGGGUGAAGAAGGCCUUCGGGUCGUAAAGCCCUGUCUAGAGGGAAGAAAUUCUCAAUGGAAUAAUACCCAUUGAGAUUGACGGUACCUCUGGAGGAAGCACCGGCUAACUCCGUGCCAGCAGCCGCGGUAAU
This 570-nucleotide ribosomal RNA is filed under the name uncultured delta proteobacterium. RNAcentral's name for it is "bacterial SSU rRNA". It matches the Rfam family "Bacterial small subunit ribosomal RNA", at positions 8 to 524 of the family's 1533-position model. The record is from RNAcentral. Lineage: Bacteria; Deltaproteobacteria.